GAUGAACGCUGGCGGCGUGCCUAAUACAUGCAAGUCGAGCGAACAGAUAAGGAGCUUGCUCCUUUGACGUUAGCGGCGGACGGGUGAGUAACACGUGGGUAACCUACCUAUAAGACUGGAAUAACUCCGGAAAACCGGGUCUAAUGCCGGAUAACAUUUAGAACCGCAUGGUUCUAAAGUGAAAGAUGGUUUUGCUAUCUCUUAUAGAUGGACCCGCGCCGUAUUAGCUAGUUGGUAAGGUAACGGCUUACCAAGGCAACGAUACGUAGCCGACCUGAGAGGGUGAUCGGCCACACGGGAACUGAGACACGGUCCAGACUCCUACGGGAGGCAGCAGUAGGGAAUCUUCCGCAAUGGGCGAAAGCCUGACGGAGCAACGCCGCGUGAGUGAUGAAGGUCUUCGGAUCGUAAAACCCUGUUAUUAGGGAAGAACAAAUGUGUAAGUAACUGUGCACGUCUUGACGGUACCUAAUCAGAAAGCAACGGCUAACUACGUG
Molecule: ribosomal RNA, 497 nt
Filed under: uncultured bacterium
Lineage: Bacteria
Description: partial 16S ribosomal RNA
Rfam family: Bacterial small subunit ribosomal RNA
Source: RNAcentral